Long non-coding RNA from Perognathus longimembris pacificus (Pacific pocket mouse), 262 nucleotides. RefSeq lists it as uncharacterized. The transcript has 3 exons. NCBI's taxonomy places the organism in Eukaryota, Metazoa, Chordata, Mammalia, Rodentia, Heteromyidae. The record is from RefSeq and is a predicted model, not a curated record.
CAGAAUGCCUUCUCAUUACAUUGAACUCACAAAAAUUAUUUACAAGUAGCUCAUGUUAACAGAUGAGGAAAGGAAGGCUUGGACAAGUACUUUGCCCAAAGACAUACAGGUAAAGUUGGUGAAUGGCAAAGCAAGAAGUUACCCCCAAGUGUUGAAUCCAGAGACUACUAGAAGAUAUAUAAUGAUGCAACUUUAUAAGAGAUGGCACAUAGUGGCUGGGAAUAUGGCCUAGUGGCAAGAGCGCUUGCCUCGUAUACUUGAA